This 484-nucleotide ribosomal RNA is filed under the name uncultured bacterium. RNAcentral describes it as "partial 16S ribosomal RNA". It matches the Rfam family "Bacterial small subunit ribosomal RNA", at positions 28 to 507 of the family's 1533-position model. The record is from RNAcentral.
AUUGAACGCUGGCGGCAUGCUUUACACAUGCAAGUCGAACGGCAGCGCGGGCUUCGGCCUGGUGGCGAGUGGCGAACGGGUGAGUAAUGCAUCGGAACGUGCCCAGUAGUGGGGGAUAGCCCGGCGAAAGCCGGAUUAAUACCGCAUACGACCUGAGGGUGAAGGCGGGGGACCGAAAGGCCUCGCGCUAUUGGAGCGGCCGAUGUCGGAUUAGCUAGUUGGUGGGGUAAAGGCUUACCAAGGCGACGAUCCGUAGCUGGUCUGAGAGGACGACCAGCCACACUGGGACUGAGACACGGCCCAGACUCCUACGGGAGGCAGCAGUGGGGAAUUUUGGACAAUGGGGGCAACCCUGAUCCAGCCAUGCCGCGUGCGGGAAGAAGGCCUUCGGGUUGUAAACCGCUUUUGUUCGGGAAGAAAUCCUCUGGGCUAAUACCCCGGGGGGAUGACGGUACCGGAAGAAUAAGCACCGGCUAACUACGUG